Molecule: transfer RNA, 72 nt
Filed under: Candidatus Xiphinematobacter sp.
Lineage: Bacteria; Pseudomonadati; Verrucomicrobiota; Spartobacteria
Description: tRNA-His
Rfam family: tRNA
About the family: Transfer RNA (tRNA) molecules are approximately 80 nucleotides in length. Their secondary structure includes four short double-helical elements and three loops (D, anti-codon, and T loops).
Source: RNAcentral
GUGGCUGUAGCUCAACGGUAGAGCUCCAGAUUGUGGUUCUGGCCGCUGCGGGUUCGAGUCCCGUCAGCCACC